Molecule: long non-coding RNA, 36789 nt
Organism: Columba livia (rock pigeon)
Lineage: Eukaryota; Metazoa; Chordata; Aves; Columbiformes; Columbidae
Exons: 23
Source: RefSeq, a predicted model, not a curated record
CGUAACGCGGCUUCGGGAAUAGGGCGGGAGGGUGAGGCGCCGGCGCGUCGUGAGGGGAAAUGGCGGCGGGAGCGGGGCUCUUAGGGCCCGGCCGUCUGUCAGGGCCUCCUGGGGACAUUCUGACAUGGGAGAGGCGAGCUUUGGGCCCGCGGGGACGCAGCGCUGAGUGAGAGGAAGCAGCAGAGCUAGGAGCAGCAGGCAGGUGUCAUGAGGCAGCCCAAGGAGCUCCAGACAGACACGCCGAUAUCACCAUCAGCACACCGAAAGAGCAAAGCGAUUUUGGGAACAGCGGAGAAUUAAUUGCAAGAGGAAUUCCUGAAUAACUCCACCCGUGGAAGGUGCCUGUGAAAGCAUUACAGAUGAUUCUGGGGUGUUGCCGCACAUACAGGACCAGAGCUUCGUGCUGAGAACAUUUUGUGCUUUAAUUCAUGGCGAUAUUGCUAGUGUUUUAAUGACUCGUGGUAAUAAAAACCUUUGGAACAGGAAGGGAAGACACACUUAGCCAAUUCAAGAGAGACCUUUGCUGUUAACAGGACACGUGCUUUCUGAUCGGCUUCUCACAUCGAGCAUCAGGGAAUUUGCGCUAGAUGAAUUUGCUGUACUGCCUCCCUGCCUUCACCUGUGGGGUCUUUUGGGCAACGUAAUCACACCAGAGAUGCUGCACAAAGGAACCUCUUCCCCUUCCUGUGCUCUGAAAGGCACAGGAUUGGCAGCUGAUUGUGUGAGGAGAAGCGAUCAGCAGUGCCCACAAUUAAAAUAGAAGUGGAAAAUGCAUGAGACGUUUUGGCUGGCACCUGGAAUUUCUUUUAGAAAGCCUUUGCAAACGACCCUGAGGGGUCAGGGCUGUUGUGAAGGCUCAACCAAAACCCUUCACAAAAUUCUGGUCACAUUCAACAAGUCGUCUCAGCUGGGGAAAAAUGGAUUAGAGCGUCAGUCUUUUUUGACUUCUUUAAAAAGGAAAUUCCUCAAGUUUUCAUUUUGAAGAGCCAUUUUGUUCAGAAAUUUAGCUGGCUGACAUGUUUUUAAGUGCACAAAAGUUUCUCAAACCAAAAACAACAGGCAUUUUGUUUUGGGCUGUCCAGUCUGUGCCGUUGCUUCUGAAAAAUGCAUGGAGGGUGUUGGUCUCUUCUCCCAAGUAGCAAGUGAUAGAACAAGAGGAAAUGGCCUCACGUUGCACCAGGGGACGUUUAGAUUGGAUAUUAGGAAAAAAUUCUUCACGGAAAGGGCUGUGGGGCAUUGAACAGGCUGCCCAGGGCAGCGGUGGAGUCACUGUCCCUGCAGGGGUUUAAAAGGCAUUUAGACGAGGCUCUUAGGGACAUGGUUUAGUGCUAGAGUUAGAUUAUGGUUGGACUUGAUGAUCCUGACGGUCUUUUACAACUGAAACAAUUCUAUUAUUCUAUCAAAAAUGGUUUUUAGUUUGGGUUUUUUUUUGAUUCAGCAAAGGAGCCUGACAAUCUUUUCUUAUGGGUUGGCCUGCUAAUGUGUUGGUUUGUUUUGGAGUUUGAUCUUGAGAGAUCCUCCAGAUUGCUUGGACGGUCCUACUGGCUGAGAUGUCCAGCUCUGUUGGGAGACCCCUCCAUCCUCCUCCUGGUCAGAGAAGGGACGCGGGUGGGCCCUGGGAGCCGAGCGGCUGGAGAGCAAAGGCAGGACGAGCCGACUCCUGCUGAUCUGGUCAAGAGUAAAGGUGGAUGAACAUCCCUUCCCCUGCUGAUGGAGCAACACGGAUUCCUCGCCUCUCUCUGCCUGCCCUUCAACACCAAAUGGGAGACUUCUGCAGCUCGGGGUUGACCUUCUCUGCUCGGGCUGGACCGGUGCUCCCUUGGUGAGGAGGAAUUAACGGCAGCGGAGGGCAGGACCUGUGAUAACUCAGUCUGGCAGCCCCAGCCCCGUCAGCACCAACGUGAUGGAAUAGUCUUUGGAGACCCAAAGAGCUUCGGUCAGCGCUUCUUUCUGAGAAGGGUUGUUGCAAAAGGAGUAAAGGAAAGUAACCAAGCCCUAAAAACCUGCAGGAGGGGACAGAAAUGGAGACAUUAAAAGGUUAAGGUGAUGCCGUCUCAGUAAUCAGUGCUGGUGUUAGCAAGUCUGGACUCGAUCCUGCUCUUCCUACCGAUGAAACUCUGCCGCUGUCUGCGUCUGAAGAGUUCCUGGUCUGACCUGUGGGGAUCCCAAGGAAUAAAUUAACGCCCAGCAAGCACGCGCGAAGGGAUUCCUCACUAGCAAGAGACAGGAGUGUGGGCGUCACGCAGUAAAGAAUCAUUCUGCUUUUGUACAGAAAAAGACUUGCCGGUGAAAGAAGAGCUUGUGUCUGCCUGGCUGCUUUCCGAUCGAGUCACCUUUGCCAGCCAAAGCAGAUUCUUCGUGCUGCUUCCAAGAGGCACGAGCUUAAACAACUGGUCUCAGAGCAGGGUGUCUCUACAGUCUUAGCCCUGAAGAGAGGAGGUGAAAUGUUCUCCUCUUCAGUGUACACAGACAAAGCUGGAGCAGAGCUGCUAUGUCUCUAACAGUCAAACUACAGCGAAAUCUGAAUUUUUUGUUCACGUUUCAUUGCCUGCUUUGAGGAAAACGGUGAUGGUGAGAUCAGACAUCAGCCUCGGGACACGUCUUGGCGCUGUGAGGGGAAGCUGAGAUUGAACAUAUGGCUGAUUGUAGAGCCCUGACCUUCCCAGAGCGCCACAUGGCUGGAAUUGCCUUCAAGUGCCGCUCAGAAGCCUACCUGGUGCCAUGGAAAGCCUUCGUGUCAUUUCUGGGAGAAUACACCUGUGGGCCAAGUACCAGCAGUUGCUACUGCUCGUGUGAUUCCUGAUUGUGCAACAUGGACGGCUAAGAGGCUUUUGGUGGUGCGGUAGGAGAAGACCACAGGUGAAAUCAUCCGAGCUGACCCUGGGAUGGCUCUGUGAAGCCAGGGGACUGCAGGAGAACGGAUGGGGACACCUGAGGGCACGCUGCUACUUCUGUCAUCAGAGGAAAAAGCAGGUUUUGUUAGUUCAGAAGCUGGCCAGCAAUUCUGGGCAUUAAAUCUAUGACUGGCCUGAGACAGACCUUGGGUAAGCAAAACAGAACUGCUCACAGUGGCUUGCUGAGACGUGGGUGGAAAAGCUUUCUUUGAAGAGGGUGUCCCGUCCCUUCUCCUCAGGUGUCCCCAGCUGCUCAGCUUGCUUUGUUGCCACGGCCUCGUGUUUGGGAUUCGCUUUUCUCUCAAGACCUUGAAACCCACCCCCUUCCCCAGCUCCUUGUGGAGUCUGCUGCAGCCUGUCUCUGGUCACGCAACUGUUCGUUCUGUCUCCGGAAUCUGCUUUGCACAGAAGUGAUUGCUACGUUCCUUUCUUUUUGCUUUGCAACGACCUAAUUUGUUAACUGUCUGUUGCAGCCUCUUCCUACAGCACUUGCCAAAGAGCUCAUCAAAGCCUCUCUGCCCUGGCGCUGGGGAAGGCGGAUUAUUAAUCUCUCUCUGUUCAAGGUUAGAGAUGUUUCCUCCUCUUGUGGACUAGUAGCUCUUCCAGACACAUCUUCAGCCUCCUCAUUCAAGAUGAAAACCACAGUGGCAUUAGAGUGGUGCUUGUUCAAAGGCGGUGAAGUGACUCUCAGCCAUGCCUAGUGCAAGUGUCAGCCCUGGCUUUGGAGAGGAUGACUGUCAAAAAGAGUUUGGCAGCUGAGGCUGGUUUGUCACUUUGGGAGCUCCGUGGGCUGUGACCCCACCUCAUGGGAAGUGUCACCGUAGUGAGCUGAGAGGUGCAGGAACGCCAAAGGCUGAGCAUGUGCUCUGGAGCUCAAGAGCUCUGCUGAUCGUGUUUCUUCUGCUGCUCUGAAGGUGUCUGAGGGGUGAUAACAGUGAGUGUUUCCACAGAGUGGACUUGACAGAAGAUUCCUUCAGACUGCAUUGGAAUACCACAUUCUUGGCAUAACUGGAUCCCUUUGGUCUUGAGAUGAUUAGAGGAAUGUCUCCUUCCUACCUUGGCAAAAUAAGGCUCAUAAACAGCUGUAUUGCUCCCGUGGCGUGGAGACUGAUGUGCAUACUGAGCACCAAAGGCUAAUGUACACAAUGUAUGUCAGCACUGGCUGGGAUUUCCCACGUGCGGGAUGUCUUAGAGCUGUGGUAGUGUGCUGAGCAGGGGAUAUGUGAGAGAGCGGGAGAUCCUGGUGAAAUACCCGUGUCCACACUCGGAUUUCAGGUGUGUGUCCACGCUGUGUGAUCAGAACAGCUGCUCAGGCCUGACUUCACCAGUGCCCUGAGCUGCACGGAGCUCUGCAGCAUCUGCGAACGAGCGUCUCCACUCCAGGAGCUCAUUUUGAGUACAGAAAGCAAGAGCAAGGUUUGCAGUGGUGGGUAAGAAGGAACCAGUGGUCAAGCAGGAGACGCUGGAGGAGCGUUGGAAGUUGCUGUCAGAGCCAAGGGAAGCCGAUCUGACUUGUGCUGGAAAACCACUUGUUUCCCCAGGAGACACCAUCCCGGGACAUCCAGGGCUGUCCCCAAACCAAGGGACUCGUGUACUGCUCCCUCCAUCGCACCCUGCGCUCCUGGGGCCGUGGGUGUCACCCAGCACGUGCUCCUGGGCAGCAGCUGCUAAAUCUAUUUUCUCAGCAGGUGUGUUCUUGCAUUCUCUUGAAGAACAGGAUUUUCAGAAGAGAGGGGGAAGAGAACAGAGGAAAAACUGUUGGGGGGGCGGAGGAAAUAAAGGGAAAUAGAAGACAGAGGGAAAAGGCAGCGAAUCACGGGAAGAAUUAGAGAUGGAGCAUGGAAAGGACUGCAUGUCCCUGGUUGCUGUGAGCACUCAGCAGAUCCUGUGGUGUGUCUGCUUUAUUACUGACAGAGUUCUCCCUUCUGUCGGCUUGUUUCCUAAUUGCUGGUCUUGUAAACUGCUUGAUUUAUGGCUCUGUUCAUCAGUUCUGGCCCUCGGGUAUAACAUGCUUUUCCUUCCAGGCUGGGAAGUGAAUAACGAAUUAACAGCCCGCCCUAGGUUCAAUAAGAAGCUGAGCAUUCAGGGAUCUUUAUUGUGAUGCACGUGCCAAAUCUGACUGCUUAAUUUUUACUUCUCAUUCAUGGAGGGUAUUCAACAACUCCAUCCCCAGGGCAGCAGCUGCGUUGUGGAUGCGUGGUGCCUUUGAAGUGUCCCACAAGAGAAGCCACCGAGGAACGGUUUCACUGUUGGUUUGCACAGAGAACUCCAAUCUGUUUCCUCGCAGCUUGCUCUGAAGCUGACAUUGUGCGCUGUACACGUUUGUCUCGGGCAAACUUCCUUUCAGUGCAGCUGAGGGAUGGAGAUCAAGGCAGAGAACAAAGGGCCCCGCUGAGCCGGAGCCACCACCCCCGGUGUGCGCGCAGCCAUCCAGCCAAGCCUGGCUGUCAUCCCCGUGUUCAGCCCGGAGAAGAGGUUUGUCCUACACCCCGGAGCAGCGUCCCUGGAGUCAGCGCGGCUUUAAUCUUGUACUGAGUGAACCCAGUGCAGUCCUUGAUGUCAGUCCUUCUGUGCAGCUCUGAUCCACGUGGCUACGUGGUCGCGCCAUGAUGCACCAGGUUUAUGGAGCAUCCGGGCCUUGGUGUGAUCAGCUGUGAAGUAGAAAUUGCACCUGCGAGUUACAUAGACCAGUCCCUGCUUGUCCCUCAGUGGGAAGAGAGGAGAUGCACACCCUGAGCAACAGAACAGAGCGAUUGUAAGUCUAGAGAGCGCUGCCCCAGGGAGCGGAGCAAGGGAACUGGCAGCGUCUGGGCAAGAGACAACUUGGAGGACACCUGGUGAUGUUCUGGUAAAGAGGGAGGGCAGGAAUGGACUUAAUGUCCAUUCAGUGGACUUAAGGGAUGUUCAGUACAGACGCUGGGAAAGUGGGAGGAAUAGUAAUGGUGUGAGCAGGUGUCCGGGGCUGGAGGGGGAGAGUCUCCAGCGCUGAAGCUUCUCAAGCAGUUUUGGAUACACGACUGUUUUGUUCUGUGAGCUUACGUGUCAGAAGUGCUUCCAGGCACAACCCUCUAGAAAUAAUAAUGACUGAAAACCUCAAGAACAAGUGUGCGUUAGACGGGGAAAUGUUUGAUGGUAAUUUCAGGACUCGUUUCCGAUCCCGUCUUUAACACUGGGUUCUGUACAGGGAAUAUCACUUUACUGGCCAUUCUGUCACUAGAAAACCAGCAAAGCCAUUUUCACUCUUUCUCUUCACAUCUUGCAAAAAGGUUUAUUUGCCCUGUGGGCCCAUGGACCAUGUGACGCUGUUCCCGAGCAGUGCUGGUGAUGAGAGAAAGAUGUUUUGAGAAGAUCCAGUGCCAGGUGAGCAGAAACUGCUGUUUCACCAAAUGUUUGUGCACUCCUGCUUAUUUCUCUCGUUGUCUCAGUUGAUCUUGGCAGCCUUUGGCAGGGCAGCUCUUGGCCUGACGUCCCCAGUCCAGCUAAAGACAAUGGAGCGGAGCCUCAGGGCCAGCAUUUUUAUGAAAACGUCUCUUAUUCCAAAACCUUGAUGAAACGGUCAAGCGAGCUCUUCUUCCACCUCCACCCCGGCUGUGUCCCAGCUGCUUUUUUCCUGUGGUUGCUGUGAUAAAAUUGCAACUGUCAGCCCUGAAGCAUGAACUCUGAGGCUUGGUCUUUACAUCAGGCAUGUAAUUACUUGUCUACAAAACUAGGAAAAUGUAGAAGGCAGAAAAAAAGAGGGAAAAGCAAGUUCUUUGUCAAAUUAGAGAAAGGCUAUCAUUUUCCCCAUGAUUUUUGUGUUGGUUUUCCUCCAUUCACAGCAUAGCUGUGCUUAAUCCAACUGGGAACCUGCUCCAGAGAUCAGCCUGUUGAGAAGCUAAAUUGUCACUACUAGACCCUCAAAUCCAUGUAAGGACACGGGACUUUAUGUUUGAAAACCCUGGAAAAAUUCUCAAAUCUGCAAGAUCUUAGAAGCUGGAAAGUCUGUUUUCCUGCGUGAGAAGGGUUUUUAUGGUGACUGAACACUGAAUUGCAAUCAGAAUGGCAGCACUAUUUGUUAAAUGCAAGUUACUUAAAUAAUUCAUUUUUCUCGCUAAUUAUACAGUACGUGGUUAGCUUCAAUGAUCACAUGUAAUUAAAGGGGAAUGGUUUCUGCAGCGCUGUCGUGACUUUGAUGGUGCUGAUCGAGAAGUGACUAAGAUUUCCUGGUCGUCUACAGAUUCUGUGCUAAUUAAGGGGUUUACGCGGAGUGAUGUGUGUGUCCUCUGCUUGGCGACACACCUGGAACAACAGGCAGCAUCUCCUGAUUUCCUGGAGGUCCUUUGCUUUCACCGAGCUCCCAAGUUAUCAACACCUUCCCUUCAUUUCAAAUAUGUGCUUAAAACCUUUUGAAGUCAAUGACGCUUAAGUGUGCGCUUCAGCUUUCGUCAUACACUGGAGCAUUUUACUGAAUUGGGGCUGCGGGCCGGUUGGGGAUGAAGCCUCACCCGUACCAGGGCCACAUUUAUCCCCUUGAUUAACCCAUCCAACACCUCAAUGACUGUCAUGAUGAGCUUUAUAUCUUUUAUAAUACAACAGGCAAGCCCCUAAGAGCUUGAGAAGUUUUUUUUCUUGAGGAACUAAAUGAGAUUAUAUGUUUGGCUGUAUUAUUUUACCGUGCCAAGCAAUAAGGAAGCCUGAUGGAGAGUUAUGUAUAGGGGAAAGGCUUGAUUUUCUGUACAUGCUUUAGUGACCGGACCUUUGUUCUGCCUUUUAACUGCGACCAUUUAGAAACAACUUGACUCACUUUGCCCUCGGCAGGGUGUUGCAUGUAGCUUCACGGUGUUGAAGAACACAGCUGAAAUUAAAAUUGAAAUGGAACGAUUCAGUUGCUAACAGGCCCAUUACCCAGUCGCCUGCCUGUGGCGUGGCCCUUCCUGCGCAUCCGCCCACACAAAAACACUUCCCUGGACAAAAAUUACCUUACGGGUGUUAUGUGCUAAGUCUCCAAGUCUUCUCGUCGUUUAAAUCCCCUGCGAAUCUCUACUGAAUAUUUUGCCAAUAACAAAAGGAAAGACAAUUCUCUCCUCGAACAAAAAAGAAUGGUCCCUACCGACUCGGAGAGGAAGCUGGCGUGCCUAAAGGUGGCACAAGAGGACAGAAGCAGAGCUGGAAUUACACCCCAGCUGCAUUAGGAUGUGGGCAAACCCGAUGUGGAAGGACAUUAUUAUCUACAAGCCAUCGUUGGUGGGUAAAGAAACUGUAAGAAGCUAUUUUAUAUACCCACAAGAAUUGAGGAGGGCUUCUCUUCAGCUCAGGAGAGGAGGUACCUGGAGCAGCAUGUAGCUGACAGCCCAGAGCGGUCAAGAAAAAGAAGAACAAGCAUAUUUUGACAGAAUUUAUCAGUGGACUUUAGUUCUCUGGACUUGAGCUCAGUUCUUGCAAGGGAAUCUUUCCUGCCAAAAAACCUCAAGCUGGCAAAUUCCCCCAAAGCCCCGGUUCCUUGGAGAUGGAUCUCUCAGCAUGAUGGUCAUGUCCAUCUCGUCUCCAGGUCCCCACCAGACAGCGGAGCGAGGAGAAUGGAGGUUUUGGUUGGAGAGAAAAUCUUCGGUUGCCCCGAGGGAAGAACAACAGGUCUUUCUGCCUGGUGUCCUCAGACAGCUUCGUUGGAUGUGACUCUCCUGUCGGGCAGGGACCGGACAAGAAAUAAUGGAUUUGGAUUGCGGUGGGAAAGAUUUAGGUUACAUGGCAGGAAAUUCUUCCUGUAGUCAGGGUGGUUUAUCCAUGCAGUAGCUUUUUUUUAAUUUUAUUUUUAAUUUUUUUACUAGUUCUACUAGUUGUAGAAGGUGCUGAUGCCAUCUGUGGUUGGAAGCCACCAAGGCAAACCUUCCUGUUGUUCCUGCUCCCUGAGGUGCUUUGUCAGGGUCCAUAGAAUAUCAGAUGAGAUGAAAUCCUAUUUUCAGUGUCUCAUGGCGGGUUUAAUUCCUUGUGCUGCGUCUCUGUGAAAGGAGUUAAGUGUCCUUGACUGUAGCGGCCCUCUCUGGAAAAAUAAUUCUUCUGUAGCUCUCCUUGUGCCUGUACCCUCUAUCUCUCUCUUACUCUGGCCCGUUCCCAAAAUGAUGCAAAAAUGCAUAUGGUCCAUCACACCAGAAAUAACAACAGGAGGGAAAGAUUCAAGAUCUUUUAGUUUGCAGCUGUUUUUUUAGAGAGAAUAAAUUUACUGUAAUAGGAAUGAGUCAGCAUGGAUGUAUUGCAGGUAAAUCACGUCAGACUAAUUUGAUCACUUAUGCUAAUGAAAUAACUAUCAGUCUAGAUAGUAUAAAUCUAUCUGGCUGUCCAGAAGGCUUGAAGAAAAUUUUGCUGGGUGGAUUAUAGCACAAACUCCCUAAACGUAGGUUAAAAUUAUGUAGUAUUGGAAAGGGUGAAAUAGUGGCGAGAAGGCAAAGUCAUGGCGUGGAGCUGAAUGUCAGAGAGGUGACAGGAGCAGAUCCUCUGCUGCGGCUCUUUAGUAUUUGUAUUAAAGAUUUACGCAAUGCCACAGCGUUAAAUUUGCACAUGAUACAGAGCUCAAGGGAUCAGGACUUGCUGGUCUUUCUUGGGAGUCAAAUUGCUUUUUGGCAGUAUAAUCUUGGUAAAAUGAGGUUCUUAGGGACAUGGGGUAGUGCCAGAGUUAGGUUAUGGUUGGACUUGAUGAUCUUGAGGCUCUCUUCCAACCAAAAUGAUUCUAUGAUUCUAUAAAUAAUACAAGGAGACUCAAAACCAUCUUGACUGGACCAAGAUGCUCCACGGCAGUUCCAGCACCAUUAACAAAGAACUGGAGGUACCAACUGGAGUCUUUUCAGUGGAGAUGGAGAGGUUGAUAUCAUAAUCACCAGUAGGACAGAGAGAUAUUUUUCCUUCAUUUUGUAAUUUUUUUGAGCCCUUAAUAUUCUCUCAUGAUAAACACUUGCAUUGCAGUAUUUGAUAGGAAGCACCGGCGGUGGUCAUGUUUUAUUAUAGUAUGUAAAAUAUAUAUUUUAUGUGUAGCCGAUGUAGCAAUUAGUUUGUAUUUAUGUCUCAAGUAAGGACUCGCCUGCAGUGGAAGGAGGGGGAACGGGACAGGAACAAAAUGUUCUUGUUCUCUUGUGUCCGUACACUCUGGAGUUAAAACUGCGAUUAGAUACUACACUUGUAGCUCCCGUCCUAUCACAGCACACAGUAAGGCUGUGGUGUAGCCGUAUCCCAGCCACAUUUAGCUGUGUAAAUAUUACUUAUCAUACAAUCUGAGCUACCGAACCUCACCUUCAGCUGGGUUUCUGGUUUUCGGCGUUCUUCAUUAUGCAACGUCUGGGCAACAGCUGGCCGGUCUGGGCAAGAAAAGGGAUUUCCUUGGCUUCAGCCCGCGCCCCGCAGGCUUCCCAGCAGCUUUUUUACCCGUUUUGAAGAGCGAUGUGAUGACUGCGCUUCUCCAGUGACUGUUACAUACGCUCCUCUUUCUGCCGCUCUGCAAGAACGUUCAGUCUUUGGAAGAUGUGCUGUAAUUGGCGAGUGAUUUGUCGCGUGAGGUUCUGAGGAGGGGAAGAGUGACAAUAACAUGAGGGUGGUUUUUCUUCUAUUUUGGGCUCUGAUUUAAAUCAGCUUCUGAGGCAGCAUUAAUUUCUGGGAGAAGAGGGAUGCUUGUGGUUGGAGUUUUCUGCAAGAGGAGCACAUUUCCGAGUUCAUGCAGGUGUUUAAAGGUGGCUGGUUGCAGUAAACCCAGACGCCACACUCCAAAUUGCUGCACCGCUGAGAAGGUCACCUGCACAUCUUCAGAAGGGCAAAAAUAUUAAAAUGUAAGCCACAAAAUCAAUCUGUUAAAUAAACCAGUUAGAACCAAAGAGGAAAUCUGAAAUCCCUGUGUAAUGGGUAUAACUCAUUCCUACUGUCAGUUCAAAAUGAACCAUAGCAGGAGAAUUCAAUGAUACCAUUGUUUGGUGAAAUUAGACUUGACACUGGCCAGUUUCUGUUUAUUUUGGUUGGUUAGGAUUUGCAAUUGUUUGACACUCAUUAGAAAUCACAGCAACCUGUACAAGAUUACUCCGUACAAGAUUACUCAUCACGCCACAGCUACGUGCUAAUUGGAAAAUAACUAGUGAAUUACCACGUCUUCCACGAGUUGUCAUCUGAGCACGUCAGGUAACGCACCGGGGUGAGCUGGCAAAGAAUUUGGUCAUACACACAACAGCUAAGAAAAAAACUUGCAGGAAAUUACUGUUACAAUAAGUUCUCAGAUGCAAAAAUAAUUAUUAAUCCUGGUGAUUUAUGGGAAUUCACUUGACCUUCUGUUUCCUUCAGUGCCUCCAGCAUGAGGACACGUGGUUCCCUACCUGAACCUCAGCCUGCUUUGGUUUUGUUUUCUAUUUAGAGCCUGCCAGUGAGUUAGAGAAGCCCCAGAUGUUUCUUAGCAGUUACACCUGCCUGAGGAAGCAGCAAAAUGCGGGAAGCAAUACCUCGCAAUCAGGAAGCUGCUUGUUUCGCGAUUAGCGUCGCUGUUAUCCCCGAGGGAAAGGAUGGCACUGUCUGGACAGACUGUGGAUCCAACAAGGCAACUUGGAUCUGGUUCUCCAGCCCGCAUCAGCUGGAAAAGUUGCCUGGUUGCCACCAGUGACUUUGGAUUUAGGAGCCACGAGAUGCUGUGAUGUGCGGGGCUGUGAGUUCACCCGCUCACCAUAACGUGGGUUUUCAGCCUCUGUUUGGCAGGGAAGAACACAGCCAGGACGUGGCUUUCCAGCAGGUUGUCGGUGGAGCAGUGUGUGAGAAAGAAUGGUUCCUGCUGGGCUCUGCAAUUGCCCUUUCUCAACACCGAGGGGUCUCUGUGGUGUCCUCCAAGUCCUUUUCUGAGGCAGCGUCCUUUACCAGCCUGAAUCUCGGUGGGGAACGGGGCUGCUCUGCUUGACAUGUGCUGGCAAGGACCUGCAGUGGCUGCAGACCAGGAGCUCAGUUGGAUCCCAGGCUGUGAGGGUUGCAAACCCAGGAAAUUGUUUAUAAAUUCACCCUCUAAAUCUAGACUCAAAGCAUCUACUGCCCAAAGGGUCUGCAUCUCUCCCAAAGGAUCUGCACCUUUCACAGAGCAUCCUAAGGCGGGAGAUGUUCCUGUUGCAACUCUUCUGACACCAACCGUGUAGCAAACCUCCUUACAGAAACGCAUCUUAAAAUCUCCAGGCUGCUCAGAGCACCCCAGCCAAACGUCCCCAGGCUGGUAGAACAGAGCAGGAAGGAAAACAUUGAUAUAGUGACCUUGGUCUUUGGCUCCACGGCACCUGAAAGCGCGGGCACGUUUGCACCUCUGGGGAGAGAGAACGAGGAAGCAGGGCCGCCUUCGACGUGGUAACAGGAGCUCUGCCUUGCAGGGCUGGAGACAGAAUAGUCGUUAUGAAAAGAGGGUGACUUGGCCUUCGUGGAGACAUUUGAGCUGCUGUGGUUUGCAGAUCCCCGGGUCCUGAGUCCUGAACCUCGCAGUGGGGUUGGCUCAGUGCAAUGGGUUGGGAAGGAAUCCACUGGCUGCGGAGCUCUGGCACUGCCAGUGCAAAGAGGUCAUGCAAAAUAAGUUAAAAGAGUGCCUUAGACAGGAGUUGAGGAAUACUCCUGACCGUACACAAAGAAAACGUAACUGCUUAAUAUCAGGCCUGUUGCUCAUGACAUACAGGCAGGAGAAAACAAGAGAAGGCAAGUGAAGGUAACUCCUUCUCCAUUCAGCUCAGCACAACCUGGGAAAGCUCUGGGCAGCCUAAUCCCCAUCUCUGUCUGCUUUUCAUGAUUUUAUUUUUUAUAGCCAGAAAUAAGAACUUUAUUGGCUUUAUUCAUCUCCCAUCAGAUGCCAAAUCAACAUCUGGCGAUACAGCAAUUCCCAGAAAAUGCUGACCUAGCAAGAUCCGGUGGAGCAGGCCGUGCUGAGGACAUUCUCCAUCCCUGACUGCCCUUUAAAUUACCUUCCCAGCCAAAGCAGGACGUGUACCCCACCUCACCCUUGCUACCUGCCUGCGUCUCAGAGCUCCAGGGUCAUGGGGAGCUCCUGCGGUUGGAAGGCACCUGAGAAAACAUCUGUGGCAUGGAGGAUCGGGGAGGAGUUGGGGACCAUGUGCCAGUGCCAGACGAGCUCAGCUCUCUCUCCUCCCGUACGCCGGAUGCAGAAUUUGUGCAUAAAAAUGCAAGGGUCCUUCCCGAAGGGUUUUUUAUAGAGUUUCCUGCAGGUUGGAGGAUUUGAAGAUCUAGCUGAAGACUGAAUACAGAGGAGCACCUACGCACUACCUCAGUGCAUAGUGGACUUAUCAUACGGCUCAGGUGCAACAAGACAGAGGCAAGUUCUGUUCACAGAUUAGCCCACGUGGAGCUGCUCCAGCAGGUCCAGCAGGUUCCUGUCGCAUCCCUGGGCUCCCACAGCCCAUCUCCUGAGCCCCCUUUUCCCACACGGUCCUGCCCCGACUGCUCCCCUGGGGUGUGGGUGUUGUGGUUUGUGCUGAAUUGUGGUAUCCGCCUUUCCACGGCUCGGCUUUUCUUUGCUCCCUAUUUCCUCAAUUCAAGCUCCAGCCAGGCGCUCAGGGCCGUUCCUCCCUCUUCUCUGCUAGAAUCCUCUACCCACAUUUUGGUCUUUUUUCGCCAGGGCAGAUGUGGGUACAGCUUUUCCCUCCUGGGCCGACUGGUCUUGGAGUAGCAAACCCUGCUGUGAAACAGGGACACAAACCCUUCAGUGGUACCAGGUGCCAUUUUUGGAGGAUGCGGUCUUCAAAGGCCGUGUCACAUCCCCAGAGCUGGGUGUCUUUGGUUGUCCUCAGCUCCAAACCCACAGCAAGAGCUACAGAUCAUUCAGAGAAAGGGUCCUGGCCAAACCGCCUCAUCAGGUGCCCACUCAUGUGAGCAAAUGCCACCAGUGGGAGCUGAGGCUUCAUCAUCCAGCCCAUAAUGCUCCUUUAAAGACAUUUCAGCAGCUCAAUUAAGUUUCCACUUGUGUGUUUUCUUUUCCCCCCCUUUGCUUUCAUGGUCAUUUAAAACAAAUAAAGUGAGCAGAACAUGGCAGCGUGAUAACCACCGUUUAAUUCCCUUCCCACGGGUCUCCAGAUUAUUUGGUGAUUCAGCGGCCGCAGGGGGAACAUUUACGGAAAGGGAGGCGGGAGCUUCCCACAGGGACCACAGCUCACAAAACCAUGGCCCCCUGAGCAUCUUGGCCAAAAUACGUGCCUCGGUUUUCCUUUUAAACACCACGGAUAUGGUGAAUGCAACACCGGAGUCCGGGCCACCCGCUCCCGCACUUUUGUGGCGUCCCCGUUCUCAUCGCAUGUCUCACUGCCCUCGUUAUUCUCGCAUUGUGAAGUGUGGACGAAGACCAAUGUUCGGGGUGUAUUUCACGCUUCUGUGCAAACACAAUAUGAGAUGAAGAAUUCGUACCCUUAGACAAGGAGACCAGGGUGUAUUUUCUCAUUAUAAGGAAAAGCAGCCAAACGGGAGCCUGCCAAUUCCUCUUCAAUGCUCCCAACUUCCCUAGGAAGUUCAAACAACUCUGUGCUUUUAAACCGGCAGAGAGAAGUAUAUUAUAUUUUUUAAAAAAACAAAAGCCAACACAAAUCCUUUUGGAUCUUUUUUUGCAUUAUUCUCCCAACCUCUAUCUUGGUAGGUUUUGAUCCGCUGGGACUGCGGUGGUGGCGAAGGAGAACACCAUGUGUUUUAUGUGUUUGCGAACAAUUAAUAGCAGGACCGAGUUUCACUGGAGCAGCAUGUAAAAUGCACCCCAGGAGGGGGAAAAAUAACAACUAACCAGACUGUUAAGCAGGCCGGAGCUUUUGCUGUCCUGUAGGAAAACAGUGUGGGGGUUUGCUUGUUCAUCAGCAGCAAUAAAUAAUGGGCGCUCACCUUGAGCUCUCCUUCAGCCGCUGCUGCUUCUCCCCAGCCUCUGUGCUAGCAAAGAAAAGAAAUAUUGUUUGGGCGACAAAUUGUGGGGUUUGUGGCUGUUUGAAUUUUAGCUCUUGGGGUUUUUUUUCCCUAAAAAGCUCCCAUUUCGUAGCUUUGGCUUUGUCUUCCCCAGCAUCCAAAGCCUCUGCCGAUCUGCCACUGAAAAAUGAGUCGUGAAUCAUUUGCCUGAACCUGCCAGCCCCACGUCACAGCCAGGCGUGCAGGUGGUUUGGCCUGGGAAGGCCGCGGGAUGCACGUUAGUCACUUAAUCCGUUGAUAAUCUAAUGGCACUGUCAGCAGGUUCUCUCACCCCUUGCAGAGAACGUCGAGACACGUUUCCAUCCCGUGCCAGGAGGAGGAACUGGCUCACCCAGCACUGGAUGGAUCCGAAUUCCCUCCGGCAAAGGUUGUAGCGGCGUCGGGUCCCUCGUCCUGCCUCCUGCCCUCACACCUUCGGGAGUGUUCUACCCAACACCUUCGGAACGUUUCUUGAAUUAAAUGAUUCAGGAAACACAUUUUCAGACUGUCGGCGAGGUGCAUUCAUCACUCCCCUGAAUAUGCACCAGAUUGUUAAUGCUUUGGGCCAAAUACCAUGUCUUUUUUAAUGCCUACAAAAUGUAGUGCGUGUUGCUGGCUCUAUAUUUAUAAUAAUUAUAAAAGCAACAGGAGUAACUGCAUUCCUACAGGCUAGAAAUGGCCAGGCAUGGACAAAAAAAAAUGAUUCAUUGUCGCAAUUAAUGCUUGAGCUUGCACCUGUGAUUAAUUAGCCUGGCAAUAGUGCUAUGCAAAAGAUCAGGAUGAGAAUUAAUAGGGAGACAAGUGCCGACUUUUAAGAUGGUUGGACUAGUAUUUAGUGCUUCUUCCUUGGGCUGCCUUUGCCCGUUUAAUUAAGAGCAACGGCACAGACUUGCUAUGCACCAAUAGACCCAUAAGCAGGUGGUGCAGAAUAUUUAUAUUACAGUGUUCUGUAGAAAACUUCAAAAUUAAACUCCCAUCCAGGUCUCUAAAUAGAAUUUUGAAAUGUCAGAGAUGCUCAGAAGGAUGCUGGCGUGGAUGAGAUUGCUGUCAGGGAGAGGCAAUAGGAUGCCAGAUUUAUGCUGGUCUAAAUAACGCAGGUGACUUCAGCUGUCGUGUUUAAAGAAACCUCAAGCGUUCUGAUGGACGUUCUUCAGCUGGUGGGAGGGAGAGGAAUGGGCAGGAACAUGUGCUAGAGCUUUGCACCCCGUCACCAAUCCCUGCGGGCUGCCGUGGUAUUUUUCCCUUUUCCUCCGAGCGUGGCCCGUGGUGGGGAACAGCUUUGCUCUUGUUUAGUAGGUGACUUUGACACGUGAGAGGGAGCAGGGACAGUUCCCAGGAGCCUGCGAGUCCCCGCGAAGCACAAGCUGACCCUUUCAGGUGAGCCCUGUUGGUGAAGUUUCUCCUCCAGGUUUUAUCCCUCACUCCGUCUGCUGGCUCAUUGUCUUGCCCUUCUGCAUAUUUGUGCCUCCCACCACCCCAGUUCAUUUCUUCCAGUUGCAGCAGCUAUUGACUGGUGUAUAUAAAUGGGGUUUAACUAGUCCUGCUCCUGAACCGCUGACGAGCCCGAUUUCUCUGUUCACGCAUCAAUCUGAAAGCACAUGCAAAGUUACCUCUUGGCUGACUUAAUUGUUCGGAGCUGCAACCCUAAUGUCUUUGUAAAUAAAACGGUCUGAUCUCAUGGGACAUGCCUGGCGGAAAGAGUCGAAUAAAUACAUCAAUAUGGAAAUAGAUCCACAAGAGGAGGAUGAACUGGGACUUUGCAAAAGUGAUAAAGCGUCUUAGGAGACGGGUUGUCACUACACUCCUUGCAUAUUCUGAUGAAGCAGAGAGCGCUGCUGGGUCUGGGCUGUGCAGGGGAAGGGAGGGAGAAGCGUGGGCACGGGCACACCGUGACUGAAAUGCUUCUACGGAUUGAUUUGACUUAAAUAUAUUCCAAGGCUGGUCUAAUUGCUGGUUUAGUCUCAGGCUUUGAUUUUCCUGGUGCUUUCCCAUCUCUGAUGCUGAGUCUUUCAUGCAUUUCAAGCAGCCUGACUGAGGGCAGCGUCCAGCUCGAACCGAACCUCCGUUAGACCAAAAGAGACGAUGCCCAUCCUUCCCGAACCCUUUCACACCGCGCCUGCGGCAAAGCGGGCAGGAGUUACAGGCAGCCAAGGUCAGACUCUUGCUGGAUGAGUGUGUUGCCGGUGUAACAGGCAGAGGGAACCUGUCACCCUCCCCUUGCCGGGGAGAGGAGCGGAGGAGACACCUCGCAUGGCGUAGUGGGGGCCGCUGCCUCCCUUCAUGCCGGCCGGGCUCCAGCCCUUGUUUUGCAGCAUGCACAGGGAAUUUUAUCACCUUCAGCAGCGAAAUCUGUCACCUUCGAGCUGCUUUAUUGUAAGCUGGAGAGUUUCACCUCGUCCUCUGUCACCCAGCACAGGGUGCAUCCCUCCCCACGCCUUCGCUGACAUCGAUCGGGCUCCUCGCUGCCACUGUCCCCAUUAACUUUAGGGACCACAUUUGUACUUGUUUUCUCAGGGGGAUCAGAGCGUUAAUUGAUGUUUCUCUUUGCCUUCCUUUGGUCUCGUGUGCAUCUCAAUCCCGUUUGUCUGGUGGCCACUUCACCUCCCCUUCCAGCCCCAGUUCUCCAAUCUGGAGAAUCAAAGACACUCACUACAGCCAGGAUUCAGGUGAUCUGCUGUUUCAAAGAAGUACAAAUACAUAUUUUAAACCACGAUACCUUUGUGUUGCAUCAGUUAUAAAAAUACACAUAUUUGCAUCAGAUUAACUGACGUAUUUUCUCUUGGAAAAAGCAAUUUAAUAUUAUUUGGGGAAUGGUACUUCAGCAGACGUGACUUGGGUGUCCCAGCUCUGGAAGCGUGGUGGUGCAGAAGGCCUUUUUCUGGAUAGUUUGGUGUGGCAGAAGGAGAUAAAUUGACUUUCUUAAUCCACAUUUAUUAUAUGCUAAGAUCAGAAUAUUGCUGCUUUGCUGUUGCUUCUAUUGUAGAUGCAUUUUUGUUUUAAGGGGUAAGUAGUUUCAUCUGAAAUGCAGUUAUUUGCAUUUGUAUGGGCUAAUUAAAAACUUAACGUCAGAGAUACAUUUCUGUGAGCAAUCAUUAUACAGCAAAAUGGUUCUUGCUUUUUGUAGAUCUCUGCUUCAGUGCAGAAAUCUGAACUUUUAAAGUCAUUUGGUCAAAUCUUUAGAUUUCCAAUGAAUAAUCAGUCUUUGCAACAAAAGCUUUAAGCAAAAAAUGAGGUGUGCGUUGGAGUUUUUCCACAGAACAAAAUCUAUAACUUAUUAUUAAAUAUAAAGAGGCUUAUGUCUUGAGUUUCAUUGCGCCACAGUGUAUAAUAGCUUUUCAGAAAUGGGUUUUUUUUCAUCAAACAAGAUGCGUCGUUCCCGCUGCCGCACUCGUUCCCCGCAGCGCAGGGGAAGGUGCCGGGGCCGCCUGGGGCUGCUCCAUCCGCCCCAUCCCCGGGAGUUACUUCAUGAGCAAUGGAAAUAUCGAUUGCAAAAGGAUCCGAAACGCAACCAGAAAGGAGCUUUGGGGAGAGAAAAUAAAAUCGCAUUACUCUGCGUCCCUUGAAUUGUUGGAUUUGGCAGGAGUGGGGCUGCGUCAGCGGGCAGGAGGCUGGGAAUACAUAAAUACUCCUGCUGUGUUUUCGUUCGCCAUGGCCAAUUUCCAGUGUGCAAACUGGGAUUACCAGGGAUGAGAUGCAGUUGGGUUCGACCUCUGCUGACCUGUUCCAGCCCUGGGAGAGCUCUGGCGAUGCAGCGCCACACUGAUGUUUCACCCUGAUAUUCCUGCCUUAAGCAGGUCCUAAGCCAAGACUACCGACUCACAUACCCAACUGCAGAGGUUUUGUGACGAGCCGAUGGAAACCUCUCCUCCAGCACACACAAAUACGCUUUGCGAGGCAAAAAUAAGCAGUAAUGCAAACAUCAAACCCUUAUUUUUUCCUUUUCCCCCCAUCUUUUUUUCCAUUUGCUCCAGGAAAGCAGGAAGAGGCGAGGAGGGAUUGACACUCAUCCCACCGAGGGCUGUUUCUGAGCCGCCUGCUGGGAGCACUCGCUCUGUGUUUCUCUUUAGUUUUGAGAUGAACGUGGCUCCUGUUUGAUGCUUAGACUGACCUCAUCUGUGAUACCCAAGGAGUUUCUACACGGCCGGAGAAAGGAUAUUUAGAGCAUGUACGCUGAGCGGGGGAAGGUGGAAAGGCCUGUGAGCGUGUCCUGCUCCCCGUGCUCUUACACACGUUCUACAUGCAGGCCUGAACGCAAGCUCGAUAGCAACUCUCUGCUCGCUCUGCCAAGGCUCCAGCUCCAAACGGCUUCUCGGCAUCCUCCACCUUCUUUUCCCGAAGUAACAAAGCCAUUUGAUUUCCUCCCACCCCUUCUCGGUGCGCCCCUGCGCUCUCCCCAUCCCCCUCGCUGGCGCUGGGGUUAUUUAUACAGAAUGUGGAAACAAUUUGCAGGAAAGCGAACAAUGUAAGCUGGAGCGAGGGGAAGGGAGUUUAUUGUGCACAUGCAUAGCCCAGAAGUGAAACGCUGCUUUUUGGAGGGGGGAAGAGGGAGCGGACUGUUUUCCUUUCCUCCUGCUCCUCUCUCUCGACGUCUCACUGACCCGCGUUCCGUCUUGCCAGAGUCGGGUCCAAACCACAGCAACCAGAUCUGAGCGCGUGUUUUGGAGGAAGUUCGCCUUGGAUCCCUCCCCGCGUCCCAGCGUGAUGAGGCGGUAUCUGUGUACUUAAUCCUCUCGGAUGGUUUCUGCUCCUGGAUUAGCGUUAAUGAAGAGCAUGUGUGCUGGAGAGGUCCUGAUCCGGGCCUGGAGAGCUGCAGCCAUGCUCAAGGCACCGUUCUUGUUAGACACAGAUAUUCUGAGGAUUGUUAGGCUGAAGGAGAAGACUCAUUGGGAGUGAAUGAGACAGGAAUUGUUUGCAAAGUCUUAUUUCAGUCUUUCUCCCCUCAGCCACUCAGCAUUACAUUUGCAGAGCAUCUCAGCACCUUGGUAGUGCCAAUGUGUCUUUGUUAAAUGAAGCGGUUUGCUUUAGUGCCCACCGGAGAGCUGAGCUCUGCUGGAGCUUGGGAACGAAGCGCUUGCAGUUCUCAGAGGUGCAGGGAAGCCAUACGAAGCUGAACCAGCAUUUUGUUCCAUACCACUGAGCAGCUCUGAGGUCUUCAGAUCUUGCUCUGCACCAUGAAAUCCUCCAAAAGAAGUGGUCCAAACCCACACAUCUGUUGGGAUGUUGGUGAGGCAGAGGCAAGGAAACUUUCUCCAGAGCAGAGCGGCUGCCUUGGCGAGCUUCUCCCUCCCCAGAGCUCGCAGCGCCUUUCUCAACAGCCUCAAGACGUGGGACGUGAUCUGAACUGGUAGGACAGGGCCAGGAAGCUGCUGAGUGGGACAUCGCGUUCCUCUCUAAACCAGGUGGAUUUCUGACCGUGAACUGGUGCAGCAGAUCAACGGUGAUCCCGUGGCACAGAGAGACGGUUGGAAGGAACCUGUCCCGGGCUGUUCCUCCCUGAGUCCUGUAUCAUCUCCAUGUUCCAGGACUUACUGCUCCUCCUCUGCCUUUGUCUGCAAAGUGUGACUGUUCAGCGUCUGUUGUGUAAAAUACCACAUCUGCUCUGCCACACAAGCGUCUACCUGGAUGUUAUUGAUGUUUACAGGUAUAUAAAGGGCCCCAACACUGUGGACUGGAAUCCUGUGGCUGGGAGCGAAGCGUGGUUGUCGCCAUCACCAGCAUUGCAACCCUGUCCCACCGUCUGAGCCCCGCGGAGCCAUAGAUCUGGCAGUUCCCAGCCCAACUGCGAGCAAUAUCCUGAACAGAGCCGGCGAGCACCAGGUGAAGAAAAGCAACAGAAGCAGAUGGGCUUGUAAACAGCAGAAUUCUGGCUCCCCCACAGAGGUCCUGCGGAGCGGAGAGGAGCAGAAUGGUUGGUAAACACGCAGCAACUUCCAUUUUCUGGGCUGAAAUGCGAUGAUCUGAGGAGGGGAGGACCACGCAGGAACAGCAACUAUGGUAUUCUGGCACAGUCAGCUAUUCCCAGCAGACGGUGUUCGCGUUCAAACUUGUAGCAAAUUGGAGAAUAUGGAAAGAGGGGUACGUUUUCCAGCAUCGGAGACUUUGUGGGUGAUGAAAACAAGAUUUCCAGCAGCCUUUUUACACCAGCAUUUCAAUCGUGGUUUCUAAAGAAGUAUCCUCCUGUUUUUCUGUUGUUCCUCCCUCCCCUUGAAUUACUUUGGAACCUGUCAGUCAAUCAGAGUUAUCAUGUCAACGCUAUGAAAUUCCCAUGAGUUACCUGAUGCUUUGAGGCUGGAUGGAGGGGAAGAAGAAACCCAAAGGUUGAACCCAGUGGUGGAAGAAAACCCAACCGCACAUCUGUUCGGAGAGCUGGGACUCCUCACGCUUGAGCUGGGAGUUUCUGUUUCUCUUGGGGAUUGGGAAGGGAGAGAUUACUGAGUCAUUGAAUCUUCAUGUAACAUGAUUAGAAUCUGGAACAGAUCCCCAAAAAGACAUUUAGGGACAACUAAACGCACAAAACAGCUUGAGUAUACAUAGCACCAGUGUUCAUCCACUGCUGGAUAAAGCCUCUCAAAUGGGCAGCGCUUUAAUAAAGUGCAUAUGUCUAGGGACCCAAAAUACAAGAAAAAAUUACGAGAAGGUAGAGAUAACACUUUCUCUGUUUAUUAGAGAGGGAGAAAAUGCCAAAAAGUUAUUAAUUUAUUUUCCUGAGAAUGUCUCAGUUGGACAAGAACCACUACAGGUUAAGACGAUCCCCAAGACCUGACGCUUGCAGAACAAGCGGGCUCGCUUCAUCCUGCCACAAAUCCUUCUGGCUUUUCUAGGGAGAUCUGUAAUUCCAAGUAUUAACCUCAGAGGUUAAUUGAAGCCUCAAAAGAAGUUUAUUUGUUAGGUGAGCUAAAGGGUGUUUUAAUUAUGUGUUUAAUCACUGUUGCUUUAAGCAUUAAUUUUGCCUGGGAAAGGAAGCUGCAGUAUUGGGAGCGACACCUCACAGCUUAGAUUUGGAGACAGAUAAACAGGGGGGGGGGGGACUGACAAAAGCUCAUAACCUGUUAUGGCAGAUGGAAACGAGCUCUGAAUUAAAAGAAGCUCUUUUGUUUUGGGCCAAAAAUAACUGGACUCGGUGAGGCCUGUUUCCCUGAGAAUGGUGCUCAGCAGUUUUUUGACAGUCAGAAGGAAGUUACCCGAAAUGCAGACUAUAUACCUCUGGAUAUUUUUUUGUUGCCUUAUUUCUCUUUUCUGCUUUAUGUGUCCUAUCCUUGCAGCUUUCCAGAGCAGAGUUACUCUUCCACUUGUUCCCUUUGCCUCCUGCUGAGUCGAUUUCUUUAUUUUUCACCAUUAUUUGUACUGCAGUCACUCCUGGAAUCUGGGAAAUCUCAGAAGUCUCCUGCACUUACCGCCAACUCUCCCACUAAAGCAGUUCAUUCUUCAUUAUAAAGGAGAAUAAAAGGCCAGCAAAGCGCACUGUGACACCCAUUCAGGUGCUGUUACCCUGUAAUUCUUUAAAAAUUCUUUAAGUCGCUGAGAAGUAUUAAUGUGGGAAGCUGACCGACUAAAUUGGUGUGAGCACGUGAAAAAGCAGCAAGUGCUGUGGCCUGGGCAGCGGGUUCUGGUUUUGGUUUGGACACUGACUCAGUGAGCUCGGGGAAAAUCAUUUCCCUUCUCUGUGCACCUGUUUCCACUCCCCACCUCUAAUUGUCUGCCUGUUUGCACUCGGAGCUUUCAGGACACAGCGCCUCAGCACAAAGGAGCCUCGUCUCGCUCAGCGUUGCAGCAAUACAAACAAGAAUUAAAGGGAUGCCCAGAUGACAUGCACGUCUGGAACCCACUGCGCUCGAGCUCCGUUCCCACUCCUCGGCUUCUCUCAGGCACCCAGCAAAGCAGACACCAGUCCCACUUCCAGCGGGGAGGUGAACUGGCGCAAAAUCACCAAAACUCAUCAGCACCCAAUCGGAACCUCCAUCCUGGAGCUGUGCCACCUCCCCACGGGUGAAAAGCUGCUUUUGGAGCCGGCUCAUCCCGCCCUCACUGCGCACACUCGAGCCUGCUCCAAUUUGCCAGCAGAGAAAUGAGCACAAACGUUUUCUCCUUUCCUCCCUUGUCUGAGGAGGUUUUAUUCCUUUUGAAUCAGCGCCAUCCAAGGCUGGCGAUUUUCUUCUCCUGCCAAAGCCAACAUGGACCGUCGUAAUUAGGGAAUGGAAAAGUCCCCCUGACUCCCAUCUUCAUCACAGCAACGCAGCAUGGUUGACCUGAACCGUGUAUUUCUGGCCUAUCUGUAUUUCGCCGUAGCCUGUUUCUUUGCGGGAGAGCGGCUGGUAUUUUCCAAUUCACACCGCUCCUGCGGUACGUGGUGAUUUAUAACAGGAGCUGCCUUAUUAAUGUCAAGGGCAGAACUGCUACCGACGUUCAAGCUGCAAGAGCGGAUGAAAAUCAUUUCGUGAGCUCCGGCGAGGUCCCGGCACCGAGGGCUGUUGGCUGAUGCACGUUCUGCUCGCAGCCUCCGCCAAGUCCGCGCGCUGGGUUCUGGGCCAGCGGCUGGAACGUGAACGAGCUCGUUCCGAGCCGGAGCUUCUCAACCUCGGAGCAACCUUAAGCCAGGGUUCAGGUUUCCUUGCUUUUUGACAGGAGUGCUGUUCAGAUGAAACCCCGCUCCGCUCCUUAUGGAGGAUUUACACUGCCACAAGCCUUGAUUUUUUCCAGAUGUUUUACCUAAUAAAUCAGGGAGGCUCAUCAGAGGAUUCGAAUCCAAAAGCUGUUACCAUGACUUCAAAGGCACAGGCUGGAAUGGAAAGAAGCAGCACAGACAUUUUCUACCACUCUCUCGUCACUGAUCAUGAAUAUACAUUCUGGUUCUUGUAUUUGUUUCCUGUGGAUACCAAAACUCCACCAUGAUUAAAUAAAACAGUGCUGUGCUUCUUCAGCCAACCUUUGCUGAAGAGAAUUGAUCCAGAGCCCUCGUGGGUGCGUGGUGAGCAGACACUGAGGAUGGGGCUGGUGCUGAGCUGAGCUUUGCCAGCCCAGUCCAAGAUCAGGGACCGUUAACACAGGUUUGAACUCACUCUGUCUUUACAGAUCAAUACGCGGCUGCAUGUUCUCUCUCCGCGCUAGUUUAAGCUGCUCCCACGUAAAGGAUUCAGACGUCCAUUCAUAUUCUUCAGAUGUUUGGGAGAGAAAAAGAUAAAAGGAGUUAUAUGGCCGCAAAAUGUGAUUGUGAUUAUUCAUACUGGUUUGUUCCUUGAUCAAUAACAUAACUUUAUUUUUUUUUAAUAUAGUGGAUGCUUUCUUUUUACAGUGUCUACGUGGUGUCAUUUUCUUUUGCUGCUGCGUUUCUGAAGAUAAAUGCCCUGGCGUUUUGAGAAACUGUUCUGUGUGUGUUUCCAAUAACAGCACAGUGUACUGCAGGAUAAGGUAACGAAGAAAAGCACCUGAAUGAAGAAAGGGAAGGUGUUCUGUGGGUAGGUGAGCCCAAGAGCUACAAGGCUGCGUUUUGUCACCUGCUUUCCUGAAGAACUUGGCUCCGGCUGCGUGAGGUGCUGCCCAUCAGAGAUGCUUCACGUGCGUUGUCUGCUUGGACAUAAAUUUACGCCAAUUAGAUCACAUUCUAUGUGUCCCAGGCAGCAGAGCGUCCUGCAGCAUGUUUAACCAGAUCUUUAAAAAUCAUGGCGGUUGCCCAACAUGUUUUCAGAUAGGAUGUUUUGGAGAAGGGGACGUCCUGCUGCAUUCUGGUGGAGGGUGGUCAGAGUGGGAAGAGCCAGGUACGUAUCAUCUCCUGUGUUGUAAUGAUGGGUUCAGACCGAAAAAUAAUGUCAUCUCAAUCUUAAUAACAAACUAACAGUUACCACGAUACUAUCUGUUCCUGCCACAGACUGCAGAAAAAUUGCUGCUUAUCUUCCCUCCCCCAGCACCCCGAACUGUUGAGGCUGCCUGGGCUCAGUGACAUCUCGAGUGAUACGUGUUGGAUCGUCAGAAUGGAGUGGGAGUAGCACAGCUUGCUUUCGGGAGCCAAAAAUAGGUACUGUCAUUUCAGAGCUGAAUCUUCCCUUCUUCUUCCCCACCCAGCCCUGCCUGUUUGGCACGUGUAACACAUAAUCGCAGCGUUCCCAUCGUCCCGAAGAAAAACCACAUUCCUCGAGCAAGCGGCGUGUUCAGUAGGGGACGUGCUUUGGGAGCAGGGUACGUUACGAUGUAGAUCCUAAAUUAGCGAGCGUCAGCGAUGAUGGUUUGCAGAUGUUUGACGGGUACAGCUCAUUUGCUGCAUCGCCACGUGGAGGAACAUCAGAGGUGUUCAGAGAUGCGCCGUAAAAUAGGGAGCUUGAAUUCUUUUCACUGGACAGCUGCUCAAGUGCUUGUAAUUGAAUGACUGAGCGACGAACAUAGCACGUUUGACUUUCUUCUUUGGUUCUUUUCUGGCUUUUGUUCUGUAGCUCUGUGAAUCUCGGUCAUGCUUUCACCUAUUUUUUUAAGUCUGCUCACUGGAGUAAGUAUUUGUCUGCUUCUGCCAGACCCCGAAAGCUACAUUUCAUUUAAAAAACCCUGAUUAUUCAGGAAGAGUGAAGUUUGAUUCACAAAGAUACCAUUCUUUGAAGGUGUCUGCUCCUUUGGUAGUGGCUGAUUUAAAUGGGCACCGUUUUACUAUGCCUGUUUCGCUGUUCUCAAGGCCACACAAAGGAGGAGGAAUUGUGCAAGGCCAUAUAAAUCAGGGUUUGUUAUAGGGAUGUCAAAUGCAACUGCACCGUGGGGUGUUCAUAGUGAGCAGGCAAGUAGUCAAAAGCAAGUCAGAACCACCAAACAAAAGCCACAAAGCUAAUCUGGUUCGUGAUGCUUCCCAAAAGCGCAGUGUCUGGUCUGGGAGGAGCUUGGGGUGUUACACUGACCCCUAUCACAUUUUCAAAGUGCUCCGGUAAGUAAUUGGGUGAGUAAGCUUAGUGGAACAUCUUUGGUUCUCAGUUUCUCCUAUCAGGAGAGAUCUAAAAAUGAAGCUACGUGAGCACAUCACUAGUCCGGGUCUCCUCCUACUUAUUAACACCAAGCUCACGCCUCUGAAUUCGGGCUCAGCUCAAGCAGCGUGAGGAGAAACAGCUCACAGGACACACACUGAGGGACCUGCUGGGUUUAACUUCCAUCCAAUAGUUCAUCAUUGCGUGGAGGACAAAGACUCCCAGUCUUUGUGCGUGCAAAUAAGAGUUCCCAUCUUUUCCAGCAGCGCUUUGUGGGCAGAGCGAGGGCAGACAAGAAAGUUUAACCAGAUCGAGAAAUCUGACAAACCUUUUAGUGCAGACUGGAGGCGAAAGCUCUCAGGCGAUGUUUGGACCACAGAAACACCUCAUGGACUGCGGCGUUUCUCCGGAAACGUUCACCGCAAUGGGCCCUGUGCGCAUCUCGGAGCUGGGUUGCUGCUGGCCUCCUGAAAACCAGAGCGCUUGCUACCCAACGUCAGUCUUUACCCAACAUCACAGUGCUUUAAAUUAACUUCUUUUGUGCAAAAGAAAUUAAAGAGAGCGGAAGGUUUCGGGAUUGGCUGCAGCUCGUGGGCCAGGAUCUCAGGCUGCACACACAUGCGUGCACAUGUGCCUGUGAGUACAUAUGUUGUGGUUUCCAUAUUAAUUUUUGUUAUUUCUCAAUAUUCCCAUUGAUAUUUAACGUAUUUAUCUUGGUUGGUGGUAAUUACAGCGGUGAAAGUGCUGACUCUGAUGUCCCUCUGGGACAUGACGUUGGCUGGGGACAACCCAGUGUUUUUGAGUGGGCCCACAGAAGUUGCUCUGCCCACUGUUCUUCAACCCCAAGAACAUUCCUGGUUUCUCUGAUAACAUCCUUAAGCACAGCGCUGAUAGAAAGAUUCUGUGUAUAUGGAUGACCUGGCACUUCUAAAUAUUAUUUAUUUUCCAGGACUUCUGGGUCACUAGAAGUGAUUAGAAUUCUACUAUUAAGGACUUCAGCUACCUCAGUCCUGUAUCUUCAGCAUCCCUCUGUUUCACAGAGAAAUUGGAGCCAAGAGACCUCGCUCGAGGGACGAAGCACCGUGGCAGCCGUGUCCGCUGAGGUGAGGGGCCCUUGAGCCUGAGGUUUACCUUUCCCAAGCAUAUUACAUCUCUCAGAAUCCUCCCAGUGCCUUCAGGCUGACUCUGUUGUUUGAUGUCCUCUUUUGCCUUACUUUUAUAAAAGAAAAGCUUUUUCUGUGCAGGACCUUCCACCCCUAGGUCUCGAAGAGGGAUUACUGAGUUCAGCGGUGACGCUGUGAAACACCGUGGAAGUAUUGCUGUUCUCCACACAAAUAAAGGGAGGUUUAAGGCUGGACCCAAGCAGAUGUCUGCAGUGAAAUUUGCACAGAAUUUAGGCACCUUAGUUCAAAGUCCUGAUGCUGAAAAACCUGCUCUUGCCUUUCCCUGCUGCAGGAGCUGCCUGUGCACUGCAGGCUCUUCAUUCGCGGGGUUUAACUUCUUCUCAAAGGUGCUUGGGGAUAUGUCUGGCUGGAUAGACCUUUCCUGCUGACCAGACUGAGUUUGGGGUUUAUCCCUGGAAUAUUUGGGUCGAAACAAACUAUUCUGGUGGAGAAGGGCUGUAGCUGCUUCCACUGGCCUGCCUGUUUGUGCCGGUAGGAACCCUUUGAGUGAGUGAAGACACCACGGGCAGUCUGGUCCUCAAGGUAAAUUAAUGUCUUUUUACCUUUUCUAGAAAAGGCCAGAUGACCCCUAGGACCUUGUCCUGAGUUUUGUGCUUGAGGUGCCCUUCCUAAUAUUUAGAGAGGUCUAGGUGGAAAAUGUGCGUUAUUCACUUCUGCACUGCAGUGUGUUUCUGCAAAGGGAGCCACCUUUAUCCUAUUGCUACACGAUUAUAGGAGCCUAAUUAAGAAAGCGAGUGGAGUCAAAAAGGAAAAUGCUGCCCCUCGUUUCCUCCACAGCAACCUGGCCUGUGCUGCUUCACUUUUUUAAGCUGUUUGGUGUAUUUGUUUUACUGAAAUGCUUGUUUCGUGGUAGAGGCUCUGCCCUUUGGUGUCCCCUUUGCACACCACAGCAGCGGUACGUAGCAAAACAGUUAGUAAAAGAAGUUUCUUGGGUAUUUGUGGUGCCUCAGGAAGCAUUGCAUGUUCUGGGACAGCCUUGAAACUCUUCUUCAAGCUCCUGUGAGGCCACUUAGGCUGUGCCUCCUGGGAACAAAGGGAAUUUGCAUGACUUUUCAGCAUCUCCCGCCUGCCCAGUGAUUUGUGUGUUAACUCAGAAUAAGUCAUUACCUCUCCGGAGCUGAGGGCACCAGAGGGUUUCAAACUGCGUUACAAACAGGGCAGCCCCGCUGACAUGAAUAUAGCUGGUCAAUUGGGAGUGUAAACACAGUCUGACUUAUUAUCAAUUAACUUCCUACUAAUCACAGAGGUAAGGAGAGGAAGGCGUCACUUCACGCUGGAAUGGGAUGGAGAGCGUAGCUUCAAUUGUCCAGAGCACAGCUACCCCCAGCUAAAACUGUAAGUAAGGACUAUCUCUAAUUGAAACCAGAUGGAACAUUCAAGUAGGCAGCCUACAAAUGCUUUACAAAAAGUAGAAAGCUUUUUGUAUGAGAAUUAAUCUUUAAGCCUCGCUGGGGUCCUAAGAAUUCAGCUCAGUCAGCACUGGUCUGUAAAGAUCUAUGCCCAGGUUUGCAUUUAAUUCUGUUUAUCUGGGGCUAUUAAUUAUCUCCUUUCAGUUUCCCUGUGAAAAUCCGCGUGUUGGGUCUGCUGAACACUCUUGCACAGAAAGAUCUGUCAUUGACUGUUUGGGCAGCUAAAUUGGGUACAACAGUUCGCUGCUCAAAGGUAUCUUAACUUCGCAUCCCUUUCUGCUGGGGCAUUAAUACUGGGGAUGACUUCAAUCUUAUUGUAAUCUCCUUGUACACAUUGCUUUUCUAAUUUCAUGCCUAGGUAUGGCAUUUCCAUUACAAAGGAGUUUUGUUGGUUGAGCUCUGCUGGUCUGGGUCUUUCAAAAGCUGAUCAGAGCUUCUGGUCAUGUGCUUCUGCUCUUUUCCCGCAGAACAAAACAUCAUCUACGCAGAUCCUGGGCUAUCAAACAGUUCAAGUGCCAAACACAACCCAAACGGCAGCCUGAGAAAAUUAUGUGUCCCGUAGGAGCCGUUGAAUAUGCACAAAUGUAUGAUCUGUUUUCCUAACGUGGCUGUUGGAACCCUGCUGGUGCCUCCAGCAGGGAAAAAUAUUUGGCAUGGGCCAUUUUCCCCCAAACUUUCCUCCUUACAGGAAAUCAAAAAUGUUCUUUUCCUACAUAUUUAUUUGUGCUUCACUGUAAUCACAAAGGGUUGCAUUUUUUCCCCUUUCUCAUGAAUGUCCUCUCGUUGCCAAUUCUGUUUCCUCUUCUGGGAGCUGCAAUUCUUUUCAGCCUUUCCUCUGGUGUCUGCUGUAUAUUCCAUAAUAAUUCAACGUAGGAGAUGAGCUUUAGGAUGGGUGGGCUGUAUUCAGGUUUACUCAGCGCCCUGUACCCGUUUCCCUGUUUAUUUUAUUUAAUCCUUGUUCUCCAGGUGCUCUGGUAAAAGUGUUCUAAAGCGAACAAGGCUUUUCAACACAACUAUGUACGCUGCUGAUUUUUCAGACCAUCUCUUUUGCUUCCCCCUGCAUUGAACAGUGGAUUCCUUUGGUCAGAGAGAAGAUCCCCACUGCUGUGGUCUGCUCACCCUCUGCUACACAGCCAUCCCAUAAAGGACUCCAAGCGGGGAUUUUGUCCACACUGACCGUUGCGUUGGCAUUCGCACGUUCUCGAUGUCUCGAGAUCUCUGCCCUCCUCCCUUCUGCCGUAGGUUUUUGGAUUAUUGGAUCUGUGUUCUCUCAGCUUCAGGACAGACAUGGUGACAGAUCCGUUCCCUGACGCCAGACCCACAGCUGGAACGUGGUCUCCAAGUCAGCUGCUGCGAUGCCACAGAUCCGGUCCUGGACUCAUUGAUGCCCAUGUUCUUUGUGAAGCCCAAGAUUUCUCAGAUUUGUCACUUCUCGCAUGGUAAGCAUCAUUCACCUGCGUCGGCUGGAAGUCAGUGAGAGCUGUCACGUGUGGCUGGCUGUAGCCAGGAACAAGACUCUCUUCAUUGUUCUGGUUUGGGAAUUGCUCGCUGUCAGGUAUUUUCCUCGCUCCAUGUCGAGUUCUCGCUUCUGCAGCAGGAACCUGUGCACAACAUGUGCUGCUUCGGGGUCUUUGGAGGCACCGUACCCCACGGAAUACUGCACUUGUCAGAAACUGCAUGCAAUGCUUAAAAAAAAAAGAGAGAGAAUAAUAGAAUAAUAGAAUAGGAGUUUUAUGUGAGGUUUUUCUUCCUUCCUGAUGUCAUUCUCUGGUACUUCUUUACAGCUUCCUUUUUAAGCUGAGCAUAAUGCAUGAGCUCCGCUCUCCAGUAAAAAACACACAUUAACAGCAUUAGUAGCAGUAAACAUCAAAAGCACAUCGGUAAUACUGUUCCUUAUCUUCCCCUACGCUGCCUUCUCCAGAAGUUUUACUUCUAGAAUGAGCUGGUGGCAUGAGCCAUAUUGGCAACACUGCAGAUACUGCGACAGGAACCCCAGAAUAAUAGCAGCUAAUGUCUGGUGAGUGGGCUGGAGGUCAGGAGGAAAAAGCCUGACUACCGUUGGAGAGGAUGGUUUAGACAAAGCUAACAGAUCCUGAAGCAAACUUCAGCCUGCAAGAUGGUUUUAGAGGCAGAUUGCAGCCAUUCGGGGCUUGAGGAACAUUAGAUUUGUGAGAAAGCUUUUCUUCCUCUGUCAAAGAUGUAUUUUUUGUUACCUGCCUCAGAGGGCUCGCAUCCGGAAAAUGCCACUUCGUUUCUUCUUAGAACGAAAAUGUUCAUUCCAGAUGAUAUAGACAUAAACCUCAAUUUCUCCUCAGCCCUCACUCCAGGUUUUCGAACAUUGAGUCUUUUUGAGAAAUACCUUUCUUGCUGAAUACAUACACUUCUGCACGUCCAGAAAUGAAGGGUACUUCAGAGAGCCUUAACCUCUUUCUCUACCAGUUCCUCAUUUUUAGCAAUGUAAAUUUGCUCCAAACAUCGAAAUCCUCUCCAGUUUUUGGUAGUGAUCCUUUUUUGCUGAAUUAUUUUGGGAAUGUGAAGGGCAUCUUGCUUUUACACAAAAUCUCCACUGCCUGUGUAGCACAAGAGUGUUUUUUAUUCUCAGAUUUCCUGCCAGCACGUACCUCCCACUGCCCUGAAGGAGGAUGUGCCAUUCUACCUUUGGUCCUUCUAAGAGCAUCCCCCAAAACGUGUAUUAGUGGAAGGCGAAGUAGGUGGAGCAACAGCCCCGGGAACAUUUACAACGUGGAGGUACCUGCUCACUAGAAGGUGCAUUAGCACCUUCCCCUCUUUUUGGGCCAGGCUGCUCGUGGGCAGCGAUGUUCAAAACCCGCCCAUGUCUCUGGGUAUGAAGCAGCAACGUUUAAUUUCCUGCAGUUCCUGCCGCACAGUUUUGUAUCUCUGAAUGUCUUUGUGUCUCGCUUGGGCGCAAAGUCGCAUUCUGACCUCUUUGAAACUCAUUUCAUAUUUCUUCGAAUCAAUAAACUUGGAAUGCAGUUGCAGAAAUACCAAGCAGUCAAUAAGUCCAGUCAAGUCACGUUAGGAGGAAGAGCGAUGUGCUGCAAAGGCAACAUUUUCGUAAGGGACUGCUCUCCAGCCAUAUUUGUUGUUCCAAUUAGUCUGAUUUAGUGGCUCAGGCAGGGGGCUGCAGCCUGGAGCACUCAGCCUCUAAUUUGAUUUUUAAAGUUGCCAUUCAGGUCCUAAGGAAAUAAAAAUAUACCGUAAAACCAUGUUGUGACAGCAGAUGUAUAGAUGCUGAUGUUUAGUGUGCAGCCAACCUGUCAGGAAGAUCUGCGGGUUCACGGCAUGAUCACCCGCAUUUCACAUCCCACCGGAGCCGCGUGUUUUGCUCCCUGGGCUUUGAUCACCGCUCCCCUGGGAGGAGCAUGGAAAGGUGGCAGAAUGGUGGUGUUUUUCCAGAACUGUUGCCCUGAAGGGAUGUUUAAACAAAAAAAGAAAGUAAAAUUAAUGUGUGUGAGAAGUGCCAGAUUGACAGCUUUAGCGAGUAAAACACUUUACCUAUUUGAAGGCUACCCACGUUUUAUCUGCCAGAGCUCUCAGCAUAGUGCCAUCUCUCUCGCAAAAUAGAUUCUUUUCUUUUUAAACUGUCCUUGUAUCUCCAAAGUGCUCAGUCCUGCAUCUGAAGAACAGUCAGACAGCACUGAUGGGGGUAAAAAGUUGAACUGCUGAAAACUGGGAAGAAACGUUGUCAAAUGUGCCCUGGUUUUGGAGAUGCUUACAAUUUGCAAGCGGCUAGAAAUGAUUUAAAAAUGAAAUUUAUGCAGAACGCUUCAAGGCAUUGCUCUGCUUGCAAACUGGAAACUGCUGGGAACAGAAGCUUGUUUCUGUCCUUGGCGAAUCGGGGCUGUUGUUGCUCUCUGCAAAGAGGCCUCUGUGGCUCCUCCGACAGCGGCAAAGCCGAGGGCACGUCCGGGCUUUGGCAGCACGAAGGUGCUUUGAGAGACACCAUGAUCACCUGGCGGGAGAUCACUGGCAGAAGACAAGUCCUUCAGUGGCACCUUAUGAGCUUGGGGAGUUAACGCUGUGUCUAAACGAGGUCUUGGAUCUGUUUGUUCAUGGCAUUGGUAACAAGAUAUUCAACUUACUGGAUAGAGUCCAAUUAGGUCUCUGCGCUUUUAUGCAGAGAUAAAUGUCCAUCUGAAACUGCACAGUGAGGUCUUCAAAGUACCCGCUGCACAAACGUGAAAACUCUGCUGGAAAGCCCGAUUUACAACUGUUUGUGCUUGUCCCCUUUUCAGACUACAUGGUAAAAAUGAAGCAGUCUGAUAUUUCUUCCAUGAAAAAUGCAUUGCAUUUAUAGGAAAUUCCUUCACAGCAUUUGAAAGGGUGAUGAGGAGCAGACCCAAAACUCUCUUUUUAAAGAGUGGCCUGAGGAGUGUAUGAACAAGGUAGUUGCUCAUUACAGCAAACAGGACUCUGUAUUGUCUAACGUCAGUAUUCCUUCUCGUUUCUGCAGAUCAUCAUCUUCACUACAUCAUAUUAAUGAUGGGUGCCACUGUUUUUAAACUGUUAAAUUAGUGGGCUAAGGUAAUUUUGUUCAUAUUUACUAUUCUGUCACAAGGUUCUAAAAGUUCUCUGUGCCUCCAGUGUCUGCCAUUUAAAAUGUGGGGGGGAUAGUUAUGCCACUAUUUUCAAACAGGGUGUCGUGGAAUCAUUUUAGCUGGUUAUUGCGUUUAAGCAGCGAGAGCAGUCUGAGCUGGCAGCCCUGACUGAGUGCCAGCAGCACAGGACGCCUGUGGGAGCUGCAGGUGUUGACUUAGCAGUCAAAUGUAUCUUAAGUUUUAUGCAUGAGACUUAAUUAAUAUCUGUAAAGUGCGCUGAGAUCACCGGGAGCAAUGGGCUGUGUAUUUUCCAGGCAUCCUCUCUUGCUGGUCUAAGAUUGUUUCUUUGAUUUCUCAAGCCCAGAGGCAGACGACUGUUUUUAUAUGCUAAGUAUCAAUUCUCUUCCUUUUGUUUUGAGCCUUUCUCCUCUCCAAUCUUUCCUCUCUGUUUUGAAUUGCUCUCAGACUGCAGUCUCACUUCCCUGCCUUCACUGGCACAGACACCAGGAGAAAAUGUGAGAGUGUUUACAUAGCACUGAAGCACUAGGACUCCGGAGACGUGAAUUGUGGACCUGCUGCGCAACCUUGGUGAUUUUGGACACCUUUCCCCAGUUCCGCUUUCCUUCCAGCUCCCUUCUAGACUAUAACCUCUCCAGGAAAGGACUUGCUUUUAUUGUGUGUUCCCUACUGUGUCUCAUACAAUAGGUCCCAACCUCAGGUAAGACCUUUAGGCGCUCCCAUUAUAUGAGAACAAGAUUGUUGGUGUCAGUAAUUAACAUUCUUGUGGGAUUGUUGGAAAUGCUUUGGGAUAAAUAACACUUGCAAUCCUGUCUGGCUUCUGUGGUUUUUAAGCAGCGGCGGAGGCUGAUCCUGUUCAUGCGAGAGGCCCUGGACCAUCUGUCCCGUCUCUUAGUGGGUACGCACAGUCCAAAAAUGAGUUAUUAAUACAAUAGCUCAGUGAGAAGUGGGACGCUGGAGAAGGGAGGGCAUUGCCAGUGGGGAAGAAGGAUGGAGGCUCAGUUUGCAGUCUCCAGUUCUGAUCUCACCUGAGAACAAAGACUACGGGACAAGUACCAAAACAGAAAGAAAAAUACCAAGCUAAGUGUCGCCGAGCUCACAGGGAAUGCCUGAGACACAGUGUCAUCCCACGACAGGCUUUGGAGAUGAAAUCUCACUCUGGUGACGUGGAUGGCAGAACUCCCGUUCACUGCAAUGCCAUCCGCCUUUCCCCGUGGGGGUUACCUGGAUUUCUCUCCUGAAUGCCCAGAGAGCCACAUCCCACAUCAUUAUGCACAUUCCCAUAAAAAAUAAAUUAUUCUUUAAAGUAUGGAUUGUAAACCCUGCAUUUUGGACUCUAAGUUCCCUCUAUCUGCAUCUGAAAUCCCUAAAUAAACAAACAUUGAAUUAGAGCUCGAGAGCCCCCUCCACUCAGCAAGUGAAGCCUUUAAAAGCAUUUCACACCAACUGCUCUGCUCCUAUUUCACUCAGUUGAACGCUGACUCACGCAAAGGGGCUCUUGUCCGUCUUCCCCUCAAACUUCCCAGGGAACUCACCUUCCUUAUUGGAAGGUCUGUCUCCAGCGAGAAGUUGGAAUUGUUCAGCUGUUGACAUCAGGAAUGACAUAAAUAUGGGCUGAGGUUAGAGAGUUGCUGGCAAACGGCCCACUAACCUAGAAUUUGCUCUGCCAAGUCAGGAGGACGACUUUUUAACCUCCAAGCAGUUUGUAAAACCGCAUCUGUGAGCAAUAAAUAUGAAAAAUUGGGAAAAAAAACAAUCUAGCACGUAGUGAGUGACGAAAGACAGCAUGCCUCGCUGGGCACCGUGGUGCAGGCAUCGGUGUGGAGGAACGAUCACGGAGGUCGUCGCUGCCAGAAGUCUGGGGACGUAGCUGAUGCCUCAUACACAAGGGAGGCAGCACAGCAGAUUAAACUGAAGGUAUCUCAUGGCUGUGUCUUAAUAAUCCAGGUCUUUAUUUGUCCCGUCUUAGCCCCAGAUUGUCUUAUUGAGCUGUUAGAGGAUGCCCAGUGACGUGAAAUUCUCUAGAUAACAAUAAAUUGGUGUAACGCUUCAGUGUCACCUCACAUCCUGCUAAGCGAUAAACCACGAUCAGAAAAAUAGACACAACCGGAGUGCCGCUGAGCAGGCGAAUCCUAAUUUUAACACCCUUUUUGCGGGCCACAGAUAACCCAGAGUGACUUGCAGCAGCUCUGAAGCAGCUCCAAAUCUCAGCAGGAGUCAGAAAGGCUCAGUCCUAGCCCGGGGACGGAGGAGUCCCAAAGGAUCAGUGGAGUUGUCAUUGUGCCAUAACCUUGCUUCUGCAGCAAAAAAUCCAGCAAGCUGGUUUGAAAUCUGAAGCACCUCAAGCAAAAAGACAAAAUUUUAAUCACUGAUGAAAUGAAGGUCCUCGUGUGGAUCGCUCUCUGGAGAAUAUUGUCUGUCUCUGAUGAUCAUGCACAGACUCCCAAAGAAGGUAAAUGUUGAAUUUUAAGCUGUACAGUGUCAAUGGCUGAAUGACAGCAUUAAAUCUGGGCUGUAAUGCUGAGAUAUCUCCAGGAGGAGAAAAACACCUUUUGCACUCAGCUGUGUAGGGGUGGCUGAGGUGAAUAUAUUGUCUCCAAAUAUUAAAGGGUGAGGGAAGAAUUUAUACACGUACGUGACACAUUUGCAGCCUAAAGGUGUUUUGUUUUUAAUUCAAGAGUUUAAAAGGUCAGCAAUGCCGACAGUAAGGUGGCCUGUGCAACUGUAAUUUGUCCCUUUUGUGCAUUUGCAUUAUGAUACACUAUUUAAUUGUAAUUAGAUGACAUGCUGUUCUUUCGACAGGUUCCCGGCUUGACUCACUGUACAAAAUAGACUGUGCUCACUAAGUAAUAAUUUUAUUUUCUCCUUGCUGUUCAGUAUGUGGCCCAUGCUUUAUUUACUGCACACUAUUCAAAUAUUGUUCUGAAGACAGAUUUAUUCAUUUCCUCCUGGGCUUUUCCACAGUACUCAUCACUAUGGUAUCCAAGUGCUUCACAAACUCUAAUUCAUUUUCUCAACACGGUUGCGAGAACUGGUAUUACCCGUAUUUUACAGAUGAGGAACUUCGGCAUACAAACAGAAUAGUAAAACCUGUCUUUUAAUUUUGGAUAUCUGUCUCUGUUCUGAGUGCUGUGCUUUGCAUCCCUCGCCGGAGCAGCCGUCACCCCCUCGGCCACAGCGCCAGGCAGCCUUUCCCCACUGUUUCUUGCAAGAGCUAACAUAGAAAAACGCCAGCAAUUUAAUUCUGUGUUGACAUUGACGCAGGCUGUCAGCAAUGUGGAAACUUACCCUAAAAUGAGGAACGUAAUAGUUUGCAUGUCGUCCAGCACUCGAAGGUGACGAGGUACGUUCCAAGUGUAUUUCAGAUACUUGCUGCCAGUCGUGAUGUGACAGUUUUCCAGUUGGUUUUCAUUCCCAUUCCUAUAUCCUCACCUUUCUGCUCUGCCUCCCUCAGCCUCUGUCGUUCCCACAUCUCCAUCCCUGUCUCUAGCGAAUUCCCUCUUCCCCUUGGGGUUGUGUGUCCUCCUCCCUUGCCCGCUCCCCCUCUCGCCUCUGAUCCCUUUUGCCCACCAAAUUUUCCUUCAGCCCUUAGCCAGGUAAUGUACUGGUCUUGUACUUGUCUUGUGCUGGUCUUGUGCUGGUCCUCCUGGGUUGCACGUCCUCCUGGCAGUUUUCUCCCCAUUCCCAGUCUGUUUUCAAGCCUUCUCCCAACAUGCUGGCUUCCAGACUCUUCUUUGUGGGCUUUGUUUUAUCCAGUUCUUGUCCCUGGUCCAGUUCUUGUCCUGGUUCAGUUCUCAUCCCCAUGAGUGUUACUGCAGGAGUUUCCUGCUCCGAGAGGACUGGAAGGACAGGUUCUCCGCUUGCUCUUCCUAUCUUCACACUUGGCAUGGUCCAAG